Molecule: long non-coding RNA, 551 nt
Organism: Rhododendron vialii
Lineage: Eukaryota; Viridiplantae; Streptophyta; Magnoliopsida; Ericales; Ericaceae
Exons: 4
Source: RefSeq, a predicted model, not a curated record
GUAAUACCCUAGCUGUCUUUCCGAGCAAUCCCCUGGACAAUACCGUAAACACGGCUGAGUCUCACAUAUACACAUUAGGGUUUCCUCCCCCCAAUUGUAGAGGUCUCCAGGGUUUUAGGGUUUGAGAAGUACAAACCUCAAAGGCUCCACAACUAAGAAUUAGCUUCCCGCGUAUAUUCUGGUGAACAGUUUUGACAGAAUGUAUCUUCAGUUCUACAUAAACGAGAAGGGUGACAAAGUUUACACUACUAAGAAAUAAGGGUUGCAACUGCUGCAGUUCUGCUUGACGUGCUCGCUCUUGGGGUUACUGAUCUCUCUGAGAGAUGCCUUGAAUUCAAUUGGGGUGAUGAUUAUAACCUGCUUGCGCACAACUAACUAUAGACAAGCAGCGUGGUUUGCCAUUGGUUAUUAUUCAAGAUUUUUUACCCAUUGAUUAUGUAAGGUAUGGAGUACUGGGGCUCCAGGAGAGUUGCAGUUACAAACCCUGUCACUGUAUUAUCUAUUUAUCUUCACAGUUCCUUCGUAGGAUGUCUCCGAUGAAGAUUAGGUUU